This is a non-coding RNA of Xyrichtys novacula (pearly razorfish), 1707 nucleotides long. The record is from the annotation of a GenBank genome assembly. NCBI's taxonomy places the organism in Eukaryota, Metazoa, Chordata, Actinopteri, Labriformes, Labridae.
UGUAACGCUGGUCCACAUUUAAUUCAAAUUAUAAGUAUCUGUAAUAGAAAUAGAAUAUAUUUUCUGCAACCCAUCAAAAAAAAAAAAAAAAAAAUUACAACUGCUGCUCUAACAAUUUAAUUACAUAGGUAGAUAACUCAUUUCUUAUUAUAUGGAUUAUAAUUAAUACUCAUUAUACUUUUUAAUGAUAUUUGAAGGUGUGAAUUUGUUCAUGUCAUCAUGGAGUCAAGCUUCAAGUUCAUGCCAAGAACUUCACCGUGCACAGUGUUAUUUUUACUCUUUAUUUUGAUGUUACUUAUGAACCUUUCCUAAAUAAGAACUUGUGUCAAAUCACAGUGUGAUAAUUAAUAAACCCAUUGGGAAACAGGGUUUCUAGGGCACUCUAAAUUAAAUAACAUGUGAUGCAAUUUCCUGCACUGUAAAUUAGACCAAAAGAAGAGGAAAAUUAAUAUUCAGAGGAUGGUGGGCAAAGGUGCGAGCGUAAUAGCUUUAGUGAGUCAAGGGACGGAGAAGUACUCCAAUAGACCAGCUCACUGUUUAUCCUUGAGAUGUGAUGAUGGUAUUAUCUGCCCCCUCACUGAAAUGAACACGGCAGCACAACAACAACCUCCAGCCACAAAAUGACCAUAAAGUUUAAUUAACACCUACAGCUUACACUGAACAUCAACCUGCAUGAAGAUGUGAAUGUAUUGUGAAACUUUGUCAAGUGUCAGCUCGUCUGAACUUGGGAAAAGUUGCUGCUCUGGACGUAAACUUUAAUGCGAAAAGAAGCCACAUUACUGUCUCUGGUUUGAGCACAUUGGUGUUGUGCUAGCAGGAACAUAUGUAUUAUCAUGGCCUUACUCAUCACUGACUUGGCAUGCGUGUAUGCUUUAUUUAUGGCAAGAGAAAAAUCUAGUUCAGGAGCAAGAUGUCUGUGUAGGCUACACCUGCAAAGGUGAGGACAUUAAGUGAUCUAAACUCAUUCAUAACCAUUUUGCAUAUACUUUAAAUAGUAAUUUUGGUGAUUCUUCAAGCAAGAAUAUCAAACAUUUACUGGGUCCAGUAUCCAGACUGUUGUUCCUAAAUCCAAAGGACAACCUAAGUGUAACAGGAUGUCCUAUAUGUCUCUGUUACAAACUCCUUUUCAAACAUAGUCAUCCUUGUUCAAAGAAAGGAGAGCAAGACAACUGUGACCAAACAAAAGGCUGAAAAUAUAAAUGAAACAAGACUGCACACAUGGAUGAAAAUGCAGGUUUAGCGAGAACACUAUCAUCCUCUUGACUUCUCUGCCUGUGCUAAUGCACUUCAAUGUGGGCUCAUUCAGCAAGCAGGUGUUCCUCCUAAAUAAUUUAUCUUUGCUGAGUGUCAUUGGCCUAAAUCUGUGUUUCACAUGAAACUUACCUGAUUCAACCCAGAGGAAUUAUCCUGGUAUAGUUAUCGUGCUUCCUGUAACAGAGCCUUGUGUUUAUUGCCAUACAGGUAAAGUUUUUUGGUUUAAUUUUGAAUGUUUUGUAUUUUUUAGCUCAACCUUUUUACACAGCCGUCUUGACAAUGUAAACGUGUACAAAGCUACCUUGUUAUGUAAAGCAUGUACAAAGCCAUAAAAGGCCCACUACUUUGUGCAGUAAACGGUGACGUGUACCUGAAACACUGGAAUAUUGAUUGGUAGAGUAACUGAACAUGUUGAAACAAGUAAAGCAACAUAUUAAAUUGGAAUCAGAAUGA